This 510-nucleotide ribosomal RNA is filed under the name uncultured bacterium. RNAcentral's name for it is "partial 16S ribosomal RNA". It matches the Rfam family "Bacterial small subunit ribosomal RNA", at positions 28 to 507 of the family's 1533-position model. The record is from RNAcentral.
GACGAACGCUGGCGGCGUGCUUAACACAUGCAAGUCGAACGAAGAGCGCUGGAAGCUUGCUGCAAUCAAUCUUAGUGGCGAACGGGUGGGCAACGCGUAAUCAACCUGCCCUUGAGAGGGGGACAACAGCUGGAAAUGAUUGCUAAUACAGCAUACGAUCGAAUCUCGGGGUCCAUGAGAGAUAAAAGGUGGCCCUUAGAGGAAAGCUCUCACUGAAGGAGGGGAUUUCGUGUGCUUAGCUGGAUGGGGGGGUAACGUGCCACCAAGGCGAGGAACAGUAGCCGGUCUGGGAGGAUGCACUGCCCAAAUUGGACUGGGGCACGGCCCAGGCCCCUUCGGGAGGCAGCCGUGGGGGAUUUUUCGCAAUGGACGCAAUGCCGACUGCGCAACGCCGCGUGAGGGCUGGCGGCCUUCGGGUUGUAAAAGUCUUUUAAUCGGGACGAAAGGCCUUCUUGCUAAUAGUGAGAUGUAUUGACGGUACCGGAAGAAUAAGCCACGGCUAACUACGUG